Molecule: ribosomal RNA, 256 nt
Filed under: uncultured bacterium
Lineage: Bacteria
Description: partial 16S ribosomal RNA
Rfam family: Bacterial small subunit ribosomal RNA
Source: RNAcentral
UACGAAGGGUGCAAGCGUUACUCGGAAUUACUGGGCGUAAAGCGUGCGUAGGUGGUGAGUUAAGUCUGUCGUGAAAUCCCCGGGCUCAACCUGGGAACUGCAUUUGUGACUGUAGAGCUGGAGUACGGCGAGAGGGGGAUGGAAUUCCGCGUGGUACAGUGAAAUGCGUAGAUAAUGCGGAGGAACACCGAUGGCGAAGGCAGGUCUCUGGGCAUUAACUGACGCUGAGGAGCGAAAGCAUGGGGAGCGAACAGGA